CUUAGACUGCAUCUGAUACUGUAUAGCUUGAGUGUGAGAGAGGAAAGCGGAAUUCCUAGUGUAGCGGUGAAAUGCGUAGAUAUUAGGAGGAACACCAGUGGCGAAGGCGGCUUUCUGGCUCAUAACUGACGCUGAGGCGCGAAAGCGUGGGGAGCAAACAGGAUUAGAUACCCUGGUAGUCCACGCCGUAAACGAUGGGUACUAGGUGUUAGGGGUUUCGAUGCCCUUAGUGCCGGAGUAAACACAAUAAGUACCCCGCCUGGGGAGUACGGUCGCAAGACUGAAACUCAAAGGAAUUGACGGGGGCCCGCACAAGCGGUGGAGCAUGUGGUUUAAUUCGACGCAACGCGAAGAACCUUACCAAGACUUGACAUCCCUCUGACCGGAUCUGUAAUGGAUCUUUCUCUUCGGAGCAGAGGAGACAGGUGGUGCAUGGUUGUCGUCAGCUCGUGUCGUGAGAUGUUGGGUUAAGUCCCGCAACGAGCGCAACCCUUAUUACUAGUUGCCAGCAUUCAGUUGGGCACUCUAGUGAGACUGCCAGUGACAAACUGGAGGAAGGUGGGGAUGACGUCAAAUCAUCAUGCCCCUUAUGUCUUGGGCUACACACGUGCUACAAUGGGUGGUACAAAGGGCAGCGAAGCCGCGAGGUGGAGCCAAUCCCCCAAAGCCACUCCCAGUUCGGAUUGCAGGCUGCAACCCGCCUGCAUGAAGUCGGAAUCGCUAGUAAUCGCAGGUCAGCAUACUGCGGUGAAUACGUUCCCGGGCCUUGUACACACCGCCCGUCACACCACGAAAGUUGGUAACA
This 805-nucleotide ribosomal RNA is filed under the name human gut metagenome. RNAcentral's name for it is "bacterial SSU rRNA". It matches the Rfam family "Bacterial small subunit ribosomal RNA", at positions 615 to 1419 of the family's 1533-position model. The record is from RNAcentral.